GACGAACGCUGGCGGCGUGCUUAACACAUGCAAGUCGAACGGAAAGGCCCCCACCUUGGUGGGGGUGCUCGAGUGGCGAACGGGUGAGUAACACGUGGGUGAUCUGCCCUGUACUUCGGGAUAAGCUUGGGAAACUGGGUCUAAUACCGGAUAGGACCAUGGUUUAGUGUCUCAUGGUGGAAAAAUUAUUGUUUUGGUGCAGGAUGAGCUCGCGGCCUAUCAGCUUGUUGGUGGGGUAAUGGCCUACCAAGGCGUCGACGGGUAGCCGGCCUGAGAGGGUGGACGGCCACAUUGGGACUGAGAUACGGCCCAGACUCCUACGGGAGGCAGCAGUGGGGAAUAUUGCGCAAUGGGCGCAAGCCUGAUGCAGCGACGCCGCGUGGGGGAUGACGGCCUUCGGGUUGUAAACUCCUUUCGUUAGGGACGAAGCCACACCUUUUUUGGGUGUGGUGACGGUACCUUUGUGAAGAAGCACCGGCUAACUACGUG
Molecule: ribosomal RNA, 489 nt
Filed under: uncultured bacterium
Lineage: Bacteria
Description: partial 16S ribosomal RNA
Rfam family: Bacterial small subunit ribosomal RNA
Source: RNAcentral